GCACAAGCGGUGGAGCAUGUUGGUUUAAUUCGAAGCAACGACGAAGAACCUUUACCAGGUCUUGACAUCCCGAUGCUUAUUUCUAGAGAUAGAAGUUACUUCGGUACAUCGGUGACAGGUGGUGCAUGGUUGUCGUCAGCUCGUGUCGUGAGAUGUUGGGUUAAGUCCCGCAACGAGCGCAACCCCUAUUGUUAGUUGCCAUCAUUCAGUUGGGCACUCUAGCGAGACUGCCGGUAAUAAACCGGAGGAAGGUGGGAUGACGUCAAAUCAUCAUGCCCCUUAUGACCUGGGCUACACACGUGCUACAAUGGGCGGUACAGACGGAGGCGAAGCCGCGAGGCGGAGCAAAUCCGAAAAAGCCGGUCUCAGUUCGGAUUGCAGGCUGCAAUUCGCCUGCAUGAAGUCGGAAUCGCUAGUAAUCGCAGGUCAGCAUACUGCGGUGAAUACGUUCCCGGGCCUU
This 460-nucleotide ribosomal RNA is filed under the name uncultured Streptococcus sp. RNAcentral describes it as "bacterial SSU rRNA". It matches the Rfam family "Bacterial small subunit ribosomal RNA", at positions 923 to 1382 of the family's 1533-position model. Lineage: Bacteria; Bacillati; Bacillota; Bacilli; Lactobacillales; Streptococcaceae. The record is from RNAcentral.